Molecule: long non-coding RNA, 3184 nt
Filed under: Orbicella faveolata
Lineage: Eukaryota; Metazoa; Cnidaria; Anthozoa; Scleractinia; Merulinidae
Description: uncharacterized LOC110045067
Source: RNAcentral
AGACGUCAUCAGUUUGUUUAACUCAGUGUGUUUUCAAGGCGGCUGGCGCUGCAAGUAUAAAUUCCUUCUCAUUGCAAAGUUAUCAGGGAAUGAUGUGAUUUACUUUUUAUUCUUUCAAAGUAAAAAUUUAUUUGCCUACGUUCCUAGAAGUUCAACGCACUAGAGAUCUCUCGUAGUGUUUCGUGCUUCAAUUUAACGCAGAUGUUAUACGAAAGGUUAAGCAAUGACUCCCUUUUAUAACUAAAUCAAACAAGCUGCCGUUUAAUAUUAGACUUUUUCAAUUUAUAUCCACCAUGGGAUGACAUGAAAAUUUUUAAUUAUAUGUUCUUGUUAAAACGAUUCCAAGCUCAAUCAGGCAGGGAAACUAAAUUAUUAUGUUGAGAAGGCAAAUAGUCUCGUCGUGCAUGGGGACAAAUGUCGAAAGAAAAUGCUUGAUUUUUCAGUAUUCAUUUAACAAACCGUAGCCAUCACGUUUUAAGGUAGCCAUUGCCCAUGCCAUGAGACAUGAAUGAUUGUUAAUCUGAGCUUUCUGAGAAAAGCUGCACAAGGUAUAAUUUUUGACUAUGACAGCUGGUGUUUUUACGUUGUUAAGGUAUUUAUUUUUGGUGCAGUUUGUGGGGUCUGUUCCUUACUAGUCAAGUGGUUUUAUGGAACGACUCAAAACGAGAGGAACACGAUUGAUAAACAAUUGAUUCAUGCACAUUUUUAUUCCAGCGACAUCAAGGGAAAAACCCCUUGCGAUGACUCACUAAGUUUUCAAUGAAUAAUUUAUUGCUUGAAGAUCAAUUGCUGCUUUAAAUAAAACUGCAUUUUUUUGGUGGACCAGCCCAGUACGUGAGGAAAAGAAAUCGGAUUUGACACGGAUUACAGGCCCGUUCCAAAACUUACAAGCCGUCGGAGAGUUUCACAAAUAUCCAAUGACAUUCGAAAAAUCCUCAGGUCACCUGUUGUAUUUUUUCCCUAAUUAUUUUUCAAAUAGCAAACACAUAGUGAAUAAACUUCGUGUAUUCAUUCAUGCAGCACUGAAAAAGCUUUACACCUUACGACGUGAGAAAUGUUGGAAUCAAAGUUCAAUUUUUUGGUUAGCUCUCUUUUUUUCGUUUUCAACGGAAACGAGUUGAACGAUUCUUCUUGUUAAAGAAAACAAAUUCAAUUAUAGCAAUGCUUUUGCUUCGUCAUCAAAAUUUUGUAAACAAUGUCAAUCAAUUUUAUCAGCCAUUAAUUAGUAUCAUCGUGCGGCAUAAAAAAGGUGAAAAACUAAUCUAUGCUUAUGUUUACGAACACUGCUUUACGAACACCGUUUGUAACAUUCAAAAAGACGUGCAACCUUUACAGGAUGUAAAUACUUGAGAGUUACAUCGCAAAGCUGCUGCGACACAUCGCGGAAACGUUGCACAGCACGCGAGAAUAGUCAAAAUGGCGCCAGGAAACCACAUGACUGACUAAAUUUCCAACAAAAACUACAAAAGGGAGUUCCGAAUCAAAUUAGUCUGGUUAUAAAUCUAAUAUACACUGAUGUGAGACAAUUUUCAAAGAGUUUAGACAGGAAAAGUACGAAAAUGUUUGUUACUAGUCGCUUCCUUAACAUGAUUAGAGAGCUCUAGUCGGGAAGCGUGACAGACAUCAUGCAAAUAAGCUUCGUAGACGGGCAUUGGCAAUGUUUAGGGAUUAGUGUGUUCAAUUGUUUCGUGCGCGUGUUUUUGUUUCACAAGAGGGUUACAUGGAGUGUUUACAAAGUGCAGGCGACUCUGUGGCGCUUGGCAUGUAUGUUCUGCUAUAAAUUGGAUGCAAAGCUUCAAAUUUUUGUUUCAUUCGCAACACGUUAGGCGCCAAACGUUCGUUAAGAAACAAUAGCUUAUUAGCACUGGCCGUCAAUAAAAGUUGACAAACGUUAGAACUCGCGUGAAGGUCACUGAUAUUGGAAGAAGUAUCACUUCUUAGCUGUGGAAAACAAUUUGAACUUGCCAGGCAGUAUACACCCAGUGAAGCCCGUUUGUCCGUUUGACAUCAAGAGCUCUGAAUCAUCGCCAACAGCAGAAAACUUAUACCCUGGUACAAACGGAUGGUUCUCCUCUACAGUUCACUCAUGGGGGGACAUUCAAGCGAUUCCACGGAACAUUCCCAAUAUGAUGUGGCCCGUGUUAGAAGAAUGAGAGUGAGAGAAAUUGGAAGGACACUGGCCCGCAUUGGAGACGGUUUGAAUCAAGAAAUACGAGCCCAUCGAACUGUGCGAAGCUCGACAGCUGUGUUUGUUUUUCAGUUGGCCAAUUUAGGGGGCGUUUCUAUGUCUUUUUUGAUACCUGUACGCAUCUCUUUACCGUACCGAGCAGGCGUUUCAAUCCUCGUCUAUAUCAUCAGCUUUUUCAGUGGUGCUAGUUUUAUUUCGGUACCAGAUAGUUAAAUACCAACGCAGAAAGAGAGGACUCUCAUAGCUUUUUUACAUAACUGUUCUUUGAGUUGCGCAGGAAGCGAACUCCUGUGGAUAGUGCACAAACAAGUUGGUAAUAUUUUCUUCGUGCCCGCUGUAACUUUAUGGCUUUUCCCGCUAGAGAAAGAUAUUUUCUUAUGGUGUGAAAUAUUGUAGGAUAUCUUGUAAAUAAAUACCGCAAGAGACAGAAGAUAGAAUCCCCGUUGGCAGUCACGAUGAUGUAUUCAUCUCAGUUUCAAUGACAUGCCUUGAUUCGUCGCCAUUCCGUCAGCUGACUGCUGUGGUUGGAAAAGUGCAGUACGGACAGGGAAUUACAAAACGCCGUGAAAGGAACUCUUUAAUUCGCUUACACAGCGAACAUUUCAAGAAUUUUGGCCGAACGUGGUUUCCUUGAAGCCUGUUAGUAAUUUUGCCUUGACCUUGCAGAAGAUACAGAGAAGACUUCUGACUGAAAGUCAAGUUUACUUACUCUCAAGUUACUACUAAGAGAGAAAACUGAAAAGAACAAACAUCUAUAUUACGUAACCUUCAUGAAUUUUCCAGAAAGCAAUCAGAGAUAAUUACAGCCUGUAAAUCACGUUUUCGCUUUUUCCUUAUUAAAUCAUUUUAGCUAUUUACGAGGAGCAAAGCUUUAUAUAAAUGGCGUUUCGAAUGAAAGCUGCGUCCUCGGUUUGUAAAAUGUAUAUAUUGUAAAAAAUGAAAAAUAGCUAAAUUUAGCCAUGAAGUUAAUAUCAAAAUAAAAUUUGUAGAAGUUUA